This 94-nucleotide non-coding RNA is filed under the name Ruminococcus flavefaciens. Its description in RNAcentral is "TPP riboswitch (THI element)". The stretch from base 5 to 84 matches the Rfam family "TPP riboswitch aptamer (THI element)", at positions 11 to 88 of the family's 105-position model. From Rfam's summary of the family: Vitamin B(1) in its active form thiamin pyrophosphate (TPP) is an essential coenzyme that is synthesised by coupling of pyrimidine and thiazole moieties in bacteria. The record is from RNAcentral. Lineage: Bacteria; Bacillati; Bacillota; Clostridia; Eubacteriales; Oscillospiraceae.
CCACAGGGGAGCUUGUAUACAGGCUGAGAGGAAGGUGCGACCUUCGACCCUUUUAACCUGAUUUGGAUAAUGCCAACGUAGGGAAUCCCAUAUC